UUUCUUUGGCCCCACUAGAAUAAUAUGCUGCGUACUGAAAUAUGGUCAACACCACAAACUAUGAGUUCUCUUGGCUUCUGCUGCUGUGAAAUUUUUAAACUGAUCAUUUUUGAAACACUUAACCCACCAUGAAGAGACUUUCUUAAAGAAAUCUUAUGGUCUUUGUUUUACCUAAAGCAAUUAAUGAAAUUGGUGUCCAUGCAGGUGGGGCAGGAACCAUGCAACACCCACAGAAAUUAAGGUCAGCCAGAUUCCAACUCAUUGGUAUAGAAGUCAGCUUAGAAUCCUACAGGGUGAGAUGUUGUCCUGUGUGCUAAAUUAAACUCUAGUACAAAACUGUCUUCUUUCAGAACCAAGAGCACUAACAGAGUCAUUUAAAGAUCUCAGUGGACCCACUAUGACAUGCUUGAGUCUGGCUCAGUGUCUCACUGUCCAAAAAGCUCCUGCUUUGGAACUGCAGCCACAUGCUCCUGCAGCUGAAAGUCCGGCUCUCCAGUGUGUGUCCUAGAGUAGGAGCAUGCUGGCCAGCUUGUAGGGCUGGAAGCUCCCCCCUCACUUACUGGCUAAGUGACUCUAACUAUAAGCAAAUCCCUUAGCUUCUCCAUGUCUGGGUUUCUCUGUGCACCUAGCUGUCACAGUGCCUAGCUCACCAUGCAGUUGGGAGGGUAAAGCAGUUAAUGAGUAGCUAAAACAAGAAACAAAGGUCUUUCUUUCAGCUCCUGAACUAUACUACUGACUUUUUUGGGAGAGAAAUUUUCCUAAGGACUCAUGAAACAUCAGUUUUAAGAGGCUGUGCCCAAGAAGAGCUGGAGGUAAAGCUAUUCACACUCUUUUUCCAUCUCCUAGGAUGUGCCCCAUCCUCAGACCAACUUCUCGUUCUGUUUUUACUUUCCUGUGGCAUGACCAUGGACCCAGCUUGUUACGUGACUGUCCUUCCCCCACUUCCCAGUGGCUCAGAGUUAGGCUUUUAGAGGUUUAACCAUGUAAAGCUGAUAAUUCAUUGACUCUAAUGACAUCUGCCUAUCAAUAUGAACAUCUGAUUUUAGUCCAAGGUAAUUCUAUCAUUUCGGGCUGAGUGACACAGGGUAAAGUUUUCAGGAGCAGCUAGGGUUCCCCUAGCUGCCUUUAUAUCAUAUGGCUCACCCCAUCCUUCUUACGAAUUCUGUCAGCCUCAGAUAUACAGGCAUAACCUGGUGUUACAGUCUUUUUUUCAGUAAAGCAUUUUGAUUCCACUCAAAGGGCAAUCAAUAGGACCAGUAUCAAUUUUAUGGAAUCUACUUCAUUUAUACUGCAAUUCUUAUAUAAACAUUCCAAUUAGAAUUUUUUUUUUUACUUUUCAUCAAUUAUACUUUAUGUAUAAUAAGAGAAAAAACACCUCAGGCUUGACAGUAUACGUUACAAGGUCUGAUUUAUAUAGUUGUAAUUUUCUGUAUGUCUAUUUACAUCAAUUAAGAAAAGGUCAAUGUCUCACUAUUUCCGAUCGGACUGUCUGUAGGGGUGAAGAUAAAAGUCGAACCUCCCCUGAGUGAUAAAUGCUUAUCUUGUGUUGUACUAUCUUUGCCGUCUGCAGUAGAGCAGGUGAGUCGGGCUCCUGGGAGCCUCGCUCCAGCGGGUGAUUUAUCCAACUUGCCACUAGGGGGAGGUGAGGCUAACUAGUGACCCAGAUCAGCGGAAGGGAGCAGGGAAAGUGCAGGAAAGGUAGUGAAUACAAUUGCCCAAAUCAAGGGAAAAGAGGAGGCCAGGGGAAGAGGAAGAGCUCUGGCUGGACAUCAGGGAUACUAAGGGACUCUCACCGAUUUUUUCAGAUGAAUGAAGAGGAGCCCUGAUAAACAAAGCAAGAUGGCCAGGAGCUUGUUUCUGAGUAAGGGGGAUCUCUGCUCCCUCCUUCAUGGGUGCUCCCCAGCCAGGGGUGCAGGGGAAUGAAGUUUCAGUUCCCGAUGAGAACAGUGAGCAUUGAGGAAUUACCAGCUGUGACAUGGACCCCCAUUACUGAUAACAUGCUUGGUUGCGUUUUGGCUUUGUUCAGUUUUUGUACUCAACAUGGGCUCCUUCGAUGACCUCAGUGACAGGGAUUAGAGAUGAGGUGCUGGGUGAGGAGGGGAAAGUUCAAAGCAUGGGGGUGACAGACCAAGCCCCUGUGACAGGCUUGGUAGAAAUGAGCACUGCAUCUUCAUGUUUAAAAGAGAAUCUCUCCUCCCCGAAGCCAUGUCCCAUUCAGCAUUUCCCCAAAAUAAUGGCAAAAGUCACCAUUGAAAUGGAUUGUUAAUUGUCUGGGUUCAAUCACUGAUAAGAAUAAACCUGCUGAGGCAGCUGGCUUUUGUCGCUUUGGCUCAUAAGCAAUAUUGUUCCAGCCCUGGGGAUCCUGGGAGGACAAGGGAAGGAAGAGGAGAUGGGGAAGGAGAUACACAGGGCAGACAGACUCACCCUCCAGGAAAAGCCCACCACUCAAAUGCCUGAAUCCAACGGGCCAGAAGAACCCCCAACCCGGUCCUCACAGGGGGCCCAAAACUUGUCCCCAUGGGAGUCUUCUGUGCCAAACUAGAGUCUGAACUGCACCCAGAAGACAAUGGGAAGCCUGUGGUGGUAUUCAGUCAGGCAGCUGGUAGCACUACAAAUCAGCCCCAUCAGCACUCCAUCAUAUUAUUCUAAUCCUUGGCAUAGCAAUGACCACUACCUAAUAUUUAUUUAUCUAUUCACUGGCUCAUUACUUCAUUGUUACUGCCUGUCUCUCCCCACUAAACUGUAACUUUCAUGGCAGCAGGGACUUUAUGUUUUGUUCACCACAGUAUAAGCAGCAAAUAAUCUAGGCAGGACACUGCAAGUGCUCGGUAAGGAUUCCUGCGUGAAUAAAGAUUUGAUAUCAGAGGUGGGAAAUGGGAGGUCAGAAGCCAGAGUCUGCAGCAUGCGGGGGAAGGGCGGGGGGAGGCAGGGCAGGCAGUUGAGGCACAGUAUGCAAGUAGUGUUUGGGAUCAAGAGGAGCUCAGAGAUGGUGGCUGCUGCAGUGUGCCCAGGUAGGGUAUAUUACCCCCCAGCUGCUGGGAGUGCUGGUGGCUCUGGGCUCCUCACCAAGUCCCUCUCUGGGAACUACCUUUGGUGGAGACAGUCACACUGCCCAAGUUCAUAGCAGCCACUUCCAAUGGUUGAUCGAUGCAGGGGGUGGAUGGUAGGGGUCUGGCCCCUCCUUAUGGGAGGACACUCGGAAAGGCCAUCCCAGAUCCAACUCCCAGUGGGACUGGUUGAGGCCUUUCUUAUGAUCUCAACAAGGAAAUUCAGAUUCUCCUGCUCAGAGUUACUUCUGUCCUUCCUUUAUAGCUAUAGAUACCAAGGUCAUUCCUCCAUAAACUGGUCUUACACAGAUCUUCAUCUCUACAUCUGCUUCCCAGAGAACUUGACCUUGGUGGUGCCAGGAGGGAUCCGAGGAAUAGACUCUCAUGUUGAAUUACCGAGCUGGAUCAUCCAUCUCCCAGCUGGAAAUGAAGACCCAUCCCUGGUGGUAAGAGAAGCCCUGACAAUUCCCAGCUCUCUGGAGAAGCACAGUCGUUCAAACCUUCAUUGGUGAUGGAACUGGGAUGUGAUACAAGGAGGAGGGAAUGUGCUGGUAGGCUGGGAGGUACAAUACACAGGCUUUUGAGAGACUCUGAAAAGCUGCCACUCAUGAGAACCAGGAAACUGGUGGCUUUUGCUGAGUCACUGACACAUUAGAAAAAGAUAUGUGAAGCCCAGGGCUGUGAGGCCCAGAGUUAUGAAUCACCACUGGAAGCAAGGCAUGAAAGUUAGAAAGCCUCAUGGGUAGCACCUAAGGAGGUCCUACAUGACCAGAGGGCAGAAAAGGCCAAGAAUAAUGAGCAGAGCCUAAUUAUGAGGACAGUAGCACUCCAAAGAAUCUGAACCCCCAGCUCUGGCAGAUCUGCUAAUCAGGGCCACAGACCCCACUGGGGUGAGGGGCAUCCUACAAUUUGGAUGAGGACAUCGAGUUAGCUCAAGCCUAAAAAUGCCAUGCAGAGCCACGUGGGCCCCAUCCUCUCUCAUCAAGGGAGGAAGAGAGGUCUCCAGACUGUAAGACCACACAGGCUCCCGAAGAUUUUACCGCCACUGUCACUUCCACCAGACCAAUGACUAGAGUUGGGGGCAGACAACACAUGGUGGGAAGUGCUGGGGCAGCUUAGGGGAAAGAGGGCUGGCAGGGUCCAGCCUAGGUGGACUGGCCACGCUGGAGAUGGUGUACAGGUCUGGGUCUUGAGGGUGAUGGAUCAAAGGGGGCAGGAGACAAAGGUUGGUAGGGAGAAUUUAUUUAUACAGAUACUGUCUUCUACUGUAGGUGGUCUGCCACCCUGGCAAGGACUCCAAGAGAUGGUUGCAUUCUGCUGCUGGGAUGACUCUUGGAACUUUGGAGAAAAUUAUGGUCCAUACUAACUAAGGCUGAAAUGGAAACAGUAUCAAUGAGGAGUGGACAAUCUUGGGUGCUAUCAGUCUUGCAGAACCACCCUGUGUCAGCUGAAGAGAGCAUCGCCCAAGUGCAUGCCUUCCCUGGGAGCAGCCUGACUCCAUGACUGCUCCAGGAGUGCAGAGAAAUAACAAACACCCAGCCCCCUGACCUCAAGGUGAGACAACUCUAAAAACCCAUCCAACUCCUAAGCUCCCCAUGAGAUCAGAGACUAACAGGAGUGGCUAGAAAGGAAAGAUAAAAUAACAAGGAAGUAGUAUCCCAGAAACAAGAGAAGUUGCUAAAAGGAGUGUGUGCAAGUCCCUGGGAUUUUAUUUACUAUAAUCUAGUUAGAGGGCAGUGAGGCCGAGUGGAGGCAGGUAGACAGGAAACCGGAUUGGCUACAGUAAUUGAGAAGUUGGGUAGUGGCCACAAGGAGUCUCAUUUCUAUUUCCUUUACUUUAUAUAUAUUUGAAAUAUGCUAUAAUAAAAAGUUAAACAGAAAGGGAGUGAAUAUGAGUGGAUAUCAACAGCAUUUAGGUGGCAAAUACAGAAAACCAGGAAACCCAGGUGCCUGGGUAGUAGCUCAGUCGGUUAAGCGUCCAACUCUUGAUUUCAGCUCAGGUCAUGAUGUCAGGAUCGUGAGAAUGAGUCCCACAUUGGCUCCAGGCUCAGCUCAGAGUUUGCUUGUCUCUCUCUCUGCCCCUCCUCCUUGCUUGCACGAAUGUGCUCACUCUCUCUUUCUCUGUCUCUAAAAUAAAUUUUUAAAAUCUUAAAAAAAAAAAAAAAAGAAAAAGAAAAUCAGGUAACCAAGACUUACCUUUUCAUCAUCUCUCUGUGGCACUGUUCUAGGCUCUGGGGACACAGCAGUGAACAAAGCACAUGAAAAUUCUUGUCCUUUAUGAAAAUUAGAUUCUAGUGGGAGGGAGACAGACAGUGAACAAAGUAAUUAGGACUGACAAACUGUUUUUGUGCACUGGUGUGUUGAUCCUGCCAUUCCUUCCCUCCCAUAACGGAAUCUUAGUGAUACAUAACAAGUUCAGGGAUGGAGACAGUACAAGAAAAAUAUUCUAUGAAAGCACCAGGACCACAGAUUGCAUACCUAAGUUCUUCCUGGACCGUGGUGUUGGGCACCCCCUAACCCAACCAUAAAGCAGAAAUAUAGUUUCCUCCUUCUCAAAGCUAGCAGGAGUGAUAGCAUGGAAAGAACCAUCUACAGGUAACCCAGAGCCAACUAUGCAUUCCACUGUGUGGAUUUUUACCAUGGGCUCUGAAAGAUGCAAAAUGACUCUAGCAGCUCCAUACCCUAUAACCUCUGUCAUUCAGAUUCCUCGGGAAGACCAGAGUCUCUUUUCCCAAGAUGGUGGGCUAAAUCUCCUUUAUGUGUCACUGGCUCCAAUUGACUCAUGUGCCCCAAAUUAGCCAUUGUCCCUGGAAAAUACAAUGCACUGAUUGACUCAGACUAGUCUUAUGCUCCUUUCCUGAGCUGAGGGUGGAGUCUUGUUCAAGGACUAAUCACAUACUAUGAACAGCAGGAUUUGUUUUGACAGUAGGGUCCACAGGAUUUGAUGAUGAAUUUUAAAGAAGUAACAGAGCAGUAAUUUCCAAUGAGGGUGCUGCCACUCAGAAGGCAGUUUUGGAAAUUGGUGGGAGCAUUUCUGAUUGCUACAAUUAUUAAAGGGGAACUACUGGCAUUGAGUGGGCAGGAGCCAGGGAUGCCAGAUAUCCUGCCCGAUACAAGGCAGCUUGCAAAGAGAAAACAGGCCUGAGUCCUGCACAAUUUCCAUACAUCUCAUCCAAACUUAAGCCUGAGUACAUGCUCUACAACAAGAUGGGUUGCAAAGAGAUUUAUUUUCUGUGAUACUGUCACUACCCCUAACCCAUAUCAUAACAAAGAAAUCAUUUUGUCCCUAACGCUUACAAAUAAUAAAACUGAGCUCAUUUACAAGAUUACCAUACUUCCUCAUUUUUUCACUCUAAGAGUCUGAGUCUGUAAUGUGUCUUGACAUGUUAUCAACGCAUCCACUCCAAUUAAGGGUAUUUCCCUCAUCCUCUUAUUUUAUACCCUUUUAAGAAAAAGACCAUAGAUAUGAGGCUCCUGCAAGAUUUUCCCCUGGUCAUCAGGGAAGGGCCUCCUACUAUCAGAUAGGGAAGAUGGGACACCCUGAUGCCCAGCAGAUAGGAAAAAGUGCAGCUGUAGCAAAAAGUCUGCAUACAUUUGAGGGGGGAAAAAGGCAUUUAAAUGAGUAUUAGAAAUAUGCAUUUUUAAAAGACUACAGUAUCUAUCCGGGAAAACACUUAAGUUCUAUAAAUAAAUCACAGUGCUUAUCCAGGGAAGCAAAAUCCAAGGCUCUCAUUGUUAGUUUUUCAACUUAGAAUACAUGGCAUGAAGAUUGCUCAGCUGUCAAGGGGCUGGUUUUUGUUUUUGUUUUUGUUUUUGUUUUGUCAACAUUGGAAUAGCUCUGGUUUUCCUAAAACUAGUUUCUAAUCUAACAUUGGUUUUUAAUCAGUGUUCAUUUACUCAGAUCUCUGCUCUUUCCCAUUCCUGAACUUUCUGUUCAGAAUGCCUUCUGAUUUUCUAUCUCUUACAUUCAAAUGCUUCCCUAGAAGCAGCUGCAAGCAUCUCGCCAGUUCAUUGCAGACUGUUUAAUAUCUCUGUCGAGUAACUCAUUACCUCAAAAUUUAGGGGCUUCAAAUAAUAUUUAUUAUCUCACUGUGUGCCUGCCUCGGGUCCAUGCCUGUGAGGCCUCAUCACGUGAUGGAAAGAUUAGAACAAGAAGUGGCUGGAAUAAAGGGCCAUUAAGGCUCCUCCCAACCACAAGAGAUUACUGUAAGAAGACAUCUGCACUAAAUGCUUUUUUUGCAUUCUCAAGGAGCUUAUUUAUCUUUGAGAAGAGAAGCUUUGUCUUUCUAGUUCAUGUCCCACUUCUGUGGAAGCAGAAGUCAGCAUCUAUUCAAGCUUAUAGAUCCUGGGCAGCAGAAGGUACAGAUUAAAGCCAGGGCAACAU
RNAcentral lists this long non-coding RNA (7431 nucleotides) under Canis lupus familiaris (dog). RNAcentral's name for it is "lncRNA (ENSCAFG00000053454.1)". The record is from RNAcentral. Lineage: Eukaryota; Metazoa; Chordata; Mammalia; Carnivora; Canidae.